Molecule: long non-coding RNA, 513 nt
Organism: Mya arenaria
Lineage: Eukaryota; Metazoa; Mollusca; Bivalvia; Myida; Myidae
Exons: 3
Source: RefSeq, a predicted model, not a curated record
UGCAACAAUAUCUUCCUGCUUUGGAUACAAUAUACGAUAGCCGUCGAUGCAGCUUGACGAUUUGGAGCAUGUUUUUUAAUCAAGAAAAGAAUGCGGAUUUAACCAGAAUGAUAAUCCAUAUAAUAUUUUUCCUGUGGGUUGCUCGAUCGUGCAUUGCGGUGACUGUCGUAAUAGACGAGAAUGAGGUGAACUGCACGCUUGAUUGUGUUUGCUGUAAGGGAGGACCGUCACGAUGUGGGAAUCACCCUAGUAAAGGGCAAUAUUAUUGCCAUGAUGGCUGUGUUGAUACCAUUUACGGCGAAAGAUGUCACAAUCCCUGUCCAGGAAAUUGCUAUACAUGUGAACAAAUAACUGGCAAGUCAUGUUUUAGCUGCAAGGACAGAUUUUAUGACCAAAACAGUUUGUGUAAAAAGGCCUGCUCAGUCGGGUGUUUAGGGGGAACAUGUAAUGGCACUGAUGGCACUUGCGAUACAUGUACAGCAAAUUUCGAAGGACCACAUUGCAACACCUGCA